Marmota monax (woodchuck) is the source of this 17639-nucleotide long non-coding RNA. RefSeq lists it as uncharacterized. The record is from RefSeq and is a predicted model, not a curated record. NCBI's taxonomy places the organism in Eukaryota, Metazoa, Chordata, Mammalia, Rodentia, Sciuridae. The transcript has 3 exons.
UCUUGAGUAUAACCCAGAACCAGCCAGACGCCGGGAGCUAGAGCGCGAGGCUGGGGCGGACAACUAAGUGAAGGCAGCCGGAGAAGGAGCCAAACUGACAGCUUCCCCGAGCUUUUGAGGCGGUGGUGGAGCCAGGAUAGGCGACCGCCACAACUAGAGGCUAUGAUCUGAGCCCACCGGGAUCGCCGGGCUCUCUAGGGUGGAAGGAUGCUCCAGGUCCGCUGGCGGAGCCUCCCUUCUCACAGCAGAGGGAAAGGCGGGCGCGCAGGCGCGCCAACACACACACACGCGCAAACACACACACACACACACGUACACACACAUCCUUCCCUUAGAGUUGUGUCUCGUCUCCCUUUUGUUUUUCUCCCUUCCCGGUCAUGAGACCCGGAAGUUUUUUUUUUUUUAAUCCUGUCUCUCUCCCAUUUCCAACCCCCCCCCCCCCACCAUCUAUCACAUGGCAGAGAUAGAAUAAAAACAGAAAAAUGGCGACGGUCACGUUGUGGCGAGCCUUGCUGCGUCAUUAGAUAAUCCUCAUGCAAAUAGCGGGAAGAACAAAGGAAGGGGGGGCCCGGGACCCCCCAGGGGCGCAGGGUGCUGGCGUGGGUUCCUCGCCGUCCGGCGGCGACUGUAAAUAGAGCCUGGAUGUUGUUUACAUGAAGGAUCCGGCGGGAGGAGUCUGCGAGGAGGAGGCGGAGGAGGAGGAGGGAGGGAGGAGAGAGGAAGACCGGAGUCCCCGCGGCGGCGGCGGUCCGGGGUGAGGGCGAGCCCGGCGCGGCGAGUGUGCCUAGGGGACCAAGCGCUACCAUGAGGCCGGGACGCUGGACCCUGGGGUCGGUUUUCAAGAAGGGGGAGGAGACUUGGAGGAUACCCCAGCUCCUGGCCGUAGCUGACCCCACUGCCUUCCCUGCGGAAUCCUUUCCCUCACUCCGCAGCCCGCACGCCAGCUGCCACCUUACUGGAGAAUAACCACACCUGUGCUUCUAUCCGCUUUGGAGACGAGGUGAGCAGAGAAACCAGGGAAUCCCCUGUAGCUCCAGGUCUCUUAGCUAGAACCCCAACACCCGAGAAUUGGCAGAAAGCGCUCCCUUCACCUGCUGAUUGCGUUCAGCACAUCUGUCUUCAACCUCCUGACAAGUUGUGGUCCACAGUUGUGUCGGGAUUUUUCUCUUCCUUCACCCCUGUACCCUACCACUGGCAACCAACGGCUGGGCUUAGGUUGUGAAAAGGAGAGGUGGCCCCCUUCGGCCCAGUGUGCUGUGCUGUGUUUUAUUCCCCAGUGGGUCUUCCAAUCGAAAUCUGCUCACAUCUUGCAGUCCCCUCUACCCUUCUCCUAAACUUAGCUCAGAAGCAGGCCUAAGCAGCCUGUCUUCUGGCUUUUUUUUCCCCUGGGCGGCACCCUGGCCCCUUUUGGUUUUCCAGAGCCAAACACGCCUCCCAAGCAGACGGCACACCCAGCCCCAAGUCUAACCAUUCCAAAGGGAGGAGGAAACAAGGGAAGAGAAGGGACUCAAGGGUUUCUGUCUGGAAUAUCAUAACAGUAUUUCCCUCUUCAAGCCUCCUAGAUAUAUAAUCCCUGUGUUAUUCUUACCAGCGUGUUAUUCUGUUAUAACUGUGUUAUUCUUCUACCCUUCUUGCCCCUGGCCCUUCAUAGAUUAUUGGGGGAAGAAGAUGGGUAGAGAAAGAGAUGGUCACCCUUAUUCUCUAGAAGGAGACAUUUUUCUCCUUUCAUUUGUGACAUAUUCAGCAUGUAAAAUAAGUAAAUGUUUGCACGCUUAUUUGAACUUGUUUUCUUCUUGGCUAAUGAAUAGCUGGAACUCCACAGGGAAGGAGGGGAGAAAGAUGCCCCAGAGUGUCCCCUGCAUUGCCAGGGAAGACCCUUCUGUAACAGCUAACAGUCUCCCUUCCAUGACAUCACCACCUAAGCCCUUCCAACUUUAGCUUCAGAACAGGAAGAAGGCCCAAAAUAGAACUACCUUAGGAAUCCAGCUCCUUUAAAAGAUCAACUUUUAAAUCAGCUGCAGGAGGAACAUAGUGAACUUUGACAGGGGGAGUGAGAAGGUAGAGAAAGCUGUGAUGUUUGUAAUUGGUUCCUUUGGGAAAGAGAGGGAAGAUACUUUCCAGGUAUUUCAGAAAAGCUUUUCUCAAGAUAGAUUCAGGUACCCAGAACAAUGAAUGAUUAAUAGUUUGGUUUGAGAUUUAUUUAUUGAAUUAUUCAUAUGUUUCAGUAUGUCAACAAGAACAAGCACUUUUCAGAAUUAGUUAAAGAGGGCCUCCUGGAAUGUGCUCUACUGUGUGUUUAGAUACAAAGGUGGUUGGGGAAGUUAGGAGGGGGCACUUGAAGAAGGCAGAGAUUCUGAGGAUCAGUGACAGCUGCUCUAUGUAAGUUGAGAGGCUCAUUAUAAACAAUGACCCCAAAGUAACUUUUGCAGGGUGACAAACAUCCCAGACAAAGGAGUAACAGUGUCGGGAUUUUCUACCUUUGCCUUGUAGAGUCUUUGAAUCUCAGUGUCUCUUUUUAUGUCCUUAAAUCAAAAUGAGCCUUUCUCUCUUUACUAAGCAGCCCUUCCCAAAAUUGUCUGGGGAGGACUGCCUAGUAAAUGAUCAGUCACUGAAGUACUGACGACUUAAAGGAUUGGAAGUGGGGCAGAAAGCACUUGACAUAAGUUGAGUGCCUGGUAGAUACUGUAGAAGGACUUGCUGGUUGAUGAGCAACAUCUUUUGUUUUGAUUGAGGUUUAAAAGAAUCAAGGUACUAGAGACAGGAUUGCCUUUACCUGCAUUAAUAGGGUAGCUGCUAGCCACAUGUGCAUCUAGUCAGCCUCCUGAAAUGGCUGAGAAGAUGAGCUGAGUUCUUAGUUUUAUUUAAUUUUCAAAAUUCACACUAUCAGUUAUCGGAAUACUUAAAUAUGUUUGGAGAUAUAUUAGAUAUGUAUAUCCAAUUAAACUAAAUAUUAAGAAAUAUAAACACAGAUUAAGUACUUCUUGAAAAUUUAGCAUUGGAAUUGGGAAUUGGGCUGUAAAAAUAAAAUACACUCCAGAUUUCAAAGACUCAGUAACAACAACAACAAAAAAAGUAAAAUAGCUCAUUAAUAAUUUUUAUAUUGAUUACAUGUUUAGAUAAUGUUUUGGAUAUAUAAAGUUAAAUUUAAAUAAAGUUAAUUUCACCUACUGAUUUUUUUUUUUAGCCUUUUUAAAAGUGGCUUCCAGGAAACUUAAAAUUACAUAUGUAGCUUAUAUUAUGCUUUUUUAAAAAUAUAUAUUUUAAAAAAAAAAUAAAAAAAAAAUAAAAAUAAAAAUAAAAAUAUAUAUUUUUAUUCAACACAUAGCACUUGGACAUACAAUGUGAUAUUUCAAUAUGUGUAUACAGUGUGUUAUGUUAUACUUCUUUUGGACAACUCUGGUCUACAGUAUUAUUCCUUUUUGUCCAUGGUUUAAUUUCAAAAGAGGUGAUUGUGUGAAAUAUUACUUCAUAUUUGUCAGCCACCUACUUUCUACUGCUAUAUUCCAUGUAAAGAUUUGGGAAUUUCAAGAGAAUUAAAGUAUUACUGUAUGAGACCUCCUGGUUACUGCUUGGUAGAUUUCUUUUAGGAGCUGUAUCCUACUAAGGGAGGGCAAUAAAAAAUUUGAAGGUUCUCUAGAACCUGCUAACCCCUUUGGAGGGGCUAUCAGGGGUAUCAGUAGGAAAUUUUGAAUACCCAUAUACCUGGCCAUAGCUGCUUUUGUAAAAGGCUCCUGGGCAUAACAAAAUACAUCAGAAAACAGUUGUGACACCUGUUGGGGUUUUAAUGAUGCUACUCAUCCAUUACCUUCAUUUACUUUCUAUUUAAUUUUUUCCUUCAGUUACUUUCUGCCCCCCACAUCAGGGCUCUACCAGUAGUAAUUAGACUCACAGUGUAGCUGGCUACUUUCCUCCAAAAAACACAUGAAUGGCGAUAGUACUGUCUUUGGGGUUUUGUUUUGUCUAAUGAGAUUCAGUAAUGCACUGGAGGGGAUUUAAAGGCCUUUUGCUACUAUCCCCUCAUUUUAUAGAUGACAAAUGGUCAAGUACCUUGUAGGAUCGUACAGACUGGAAUUAAACAUGCUUUUGUUGAUAAUCUGAUUUAGAGGGUUCCUGAAAAAAAAAUGAAGAGGCUAAUCAAUUAGUCAAAUAUUUGUUGAGCUUGUACUUUGUGCAAAUGUCUGAGAGUGUUUGAAGGGACAUGAAGAAAACAGGUUCUGACUUUAGGAAGAGGGCUGUUGACUUCAGGAAGCAAGACAUAAACAGUGCCGAAGUGUACAGCACAGCACUUGGUAUGCGCAGUGCCCUGUGGUGUGUUACAAGUAUAAAUGUGUUUAUUUUACACAUGGAGGAGUAGAAGCUGUGAGAAUGGUGGAUUCUGCAGAAAAAUGGAGUGUAAUUGUGUUUCUGGAACGGCCUGCAGCUCUAGAAUUGGAGGUCAGCGGCAAGUCUUUAGUAUUGUCCCCUUUAGCUAUCCAUUAAGGGAAUCUGAAAACCUAAGAUCCAGCAUUUUUAAAUGGCAGUGCAAUCGUAAUGAGGACAUCAUAGUUUUUUAGGCACGAUUAAUGAGACUGUUUUGAGGUUAACUGGUGUAUUUUUGACCAGUUAUUCUAAAAGGGUACAAUACAACAACCAACAAUAAAAAAUUAAAAAAAUAAAAAAUAAAUAAAUAAAAUUCAAUUGGUAAAAAAAAAAAUAAAAGGGUACAAUACAGAGGUGAACUCAGAAUAAAACUGACUCGUGAGCAAACUGUAAAAUCCAAAGUCUGGGAGAUGGGGAGAGUGCAUACUAGAGCAACAUCAGAAGGCUAAAUAAACAUGGAGUAGACAGACUAAAAAACACUUAUGCUGAAUUUCAUGUAUGAAGUUUCGGAAAAGGCCCAUAAAAUAGAAUAUAUGAACUAGUUCAUUUAUUUGUAAAUUUUUAGUCCCCUGGAUCCCUCUGGACCAAAAUCCCAGUCAGCAUAAGAGAAGAAAGGUCAUUUCUCUCUGUGUGUUACUGCAACAGUGUUUUUGUCCAUAUGGCUGCUAAGGUUUAUAGCCUGAGACUGUUUAGAGGCCAACGUAUGAAGCAGGUAAAACAGUGACACCAUUCUGUAAUCACUCCUAGUUAAUGCUCCUCUUGAAGAUUGGACGUGACUUUGCACAGGGCAGUGAUCUUUGACUUUUCCUUGCUACUUUAACCAAUUUCAUUCUCCUUAAACUAGAAAACAAUCUGAGCCAGGCAUGGUGGCCUGUAAUCCCAGUGGCUAGGGAAGCUAAGGCAGGAGGAUCGCAAGUCCAAAGCAAACCUCAGCAAUUUAGCAAAGCUAAGCAACUUAGACCCUGUAUCUAAAAAAAAAAAAAAAAAAAAAAAAAAUCUGUAACCUCUUCGUUCUAGGUUUCCCACAAAUUUUUGGCACAAAUUUAAAAUAAACUAUUAUAUAGCAAAGUUUGCAGUAAAAUGCAGGUGUACAUGCUGUAUACUUCUGACAAAGCAGAGGUUGACCUUUGUUUUGUUUUUAUUUUGUAUAACCGGGAGAUGGAAUCCAGGAUUCCAUCUCUUAACUCCUGAGCCGUCUUCCCAGGCCUUUUAUAUUUUAUUUUGAGACAGUGUCUCCUGAGUUGUUUAGUGCCUCACUAAAUUUCUGAAGCUGGUCUCAGAUGUGCAAUCCUCCUGCCUCAGCCUUCUGAACUGCUGGGAUUACAGGCGUGCACCACCUUACCUGACCGAGAAGUUAACAUUUGAGCAUCUUUUGCUUACAGUACAUUUUUACAGCAUCACAGUGUGGUCACAUUUGUACAUUUAUGAUUUGUCAUUAAAUUGGGUUAUGGUUUUCAAAUGGGGGGGAAAAAUCUCCCUUUAGUUAAAAGAACAGUGGAUUUAAAUAGCUAUAGUUUUAAAAUACUUUGACAUUCCAGCAACUUGUUUCACAGUAUUUCUAAUUAUUGACUAUAUAAUUGAUGUUUAAAGGUUUAGAAUCAUAUGUUCAUUUUCAGUUUGUCUAAGAAUGUCAUGUGUGUUUUGAAUAUACAUUUGUAUUCCACCAAAGAAGCAAGUUCUUUGGUAUUAUCAAUGGUACAGAAGUACUUGCUUUUCAAGCUAGUAUUUGGGGCAUGCAUCAUGAAGAAAUGGCUCUAUUUUAUCAUUUUUCUUAGAAGAUCUGCAUUUAAAAUCAGUUUGUUCUUUGGAGGAAAGUAUUUGGCAUCACUGCUUUCUCCUCCCCUUACUUUACAGGGUGCUUUCUUACUAUAGCCUGAGUACCUGUGGCAACUUGUUUUUAAUGAAAAAAUUUCUUAUAAAAAAGUAUAUAGAAAAAGAAAUGUUUCUGUUAGGUUUUGUUUUUCAAAAAUGUACAUUUACAAAGAGUAAUGUCCCAGAAGAAACAAAACUACACUUUUGAAGCAUUUAUUAUUAUUUAAAAAUAUUUGGGAAAUAUAUUUUUAUUCCUCUGAAGCUGCUUUUGAAUUAGUCUAAGGGAACGUAAAUUUAAGUAUUAACAGAAUAAUGACAGUUUGCUUCUUAUCAUUAUCAAUGCUUGGCCUUUUUUUUUUUUUACCAAUUUUUUUUUGGAGGGGCUAUCAGGGGUAUCAGUAGGAAAAAAUGAGAGGAAAAAAUAGUUUAAAAAAGGAAAUAUCUUUUAUUUUACCAAAAAUGUUCAGUAGUUGUGUGAUUUAGGGCAAUGGCUUAAUGGAGCGAAUUUCAGCUUUUCAGCUUAUUACACAUUCAGUUCACCUUUUGUCUUUCGUAUUUAGAAAUCCACUUGCACUAAUACUCAAUCUCAGCAAAGCGCUGUCUCACAGCUAGUAAGUAUCUCAAGGGUAUUUGUUUCCAUACUUCUCCAGCAUCCAGUAUUUCAGGGUAAGUGGGUACUGUGUCUUUUAUAAAGCCGACAGAAUUUAUGGUCAGGAAACGUUAGGUGAUAAUCUUUUUAUCCUUCUUGAUGAAUCAAAAACUAAAAUUUCAUUCUAACAGUUGCAGUGUCUUGGUUCACCUAACAGAUGUUUAUAAUUUGGGUGAAAAUACACAGCGAUUUCCAGGAACCUUACUUAGGUUGUGAGAUCUAGCCUGUCGUGGUGUUUUUUUAAAUCUUCAUUGCCCUCUCGUGUUUCAACUCUGCAUUACAUCAGUUGGCUGCGACCUAGAUGAUGACCUCCUUAACAUUUAGAUAUUUUUGCACUUUAGAGAAUAUUGUUUUUAAUUUGUGUGGAGGUGGAUUAUUUUAUUCGAUAUCACUUUUGUGAAGAUCAGGUCAAUUUCAUCGUACAUACAGUUAAUAGUUGAACUAGAUUGACUGUACUCUUUUCUGACUUCUGCUGAACUGCAGAACUGAUUCAUCUAUCUGACUUAUUUGAAGUACAGUGCUAAUAUCUAAUUUGCAUAUAAUGAGUCUUUGAAAUUGAGCAAAUGUCUAAUUGAAAACAUAAUUAUUUUUCAAAUAUCUGUCAAGUUCCACUCAUACUGAAAUAACUUGAGACCUUAUGACUGACGUGGAAAAACCCUGGGUGAAUCAUGGUUUUAAUAAGUUGGUAUUCUGACUCUUGGAUUCCAAUUUCAGAGUCUUUUUGUACCUUUUAUCAAAAGUAAGAAUCAUCAUUGAAAUUAUUUCAGGGUAUAAGUCAAAGAUACAGAUAAUUUCAAAGAUAGUAUGUUGAUUUGGGAGGGGGGGUACCCGGGAUUGAACUCAGGGGCACUUAACCACUGAGCUACAUUCCCAGCACUAUUUUGUAGCUUUUUUUUAGAGACAGGGUCUCACUGAGUUGCUUAGUGCCUCGCCAUUACUGAGGCUGGCUUUGAACUUGUGAUUCUCCUGCCUCAGCCUCCUGAAUCAUUGGGAUUAUAGGCAUGUGCCACUGUGCCCGGCAUGUAUGUUGAUUUUUCAAAAAGGCAUUCCAGGGGCUGGUGUUGUAGCUCAGUGGUAAAGCAUUUUUUAUAAAAACUUUUUUUAUAAAAUUUUUUAAAAUAAGGGGAAAAAGGCAUUCCAAAGACUGUCCACUUAUUCUUGUACCCCUAUAACUGUAUAAUUGCAUAAACUAUAGUGAAAAACAUCCCCAGGUGUGCUAAAUACUAUCUACCAAUGUCAUCAACUUGAGUAUGUUCCUAGCUAUGAAAGGAGGAUCUUGCUUUUUUUUUGAGACAGGAUCUCACUAGGUUGCUUAUAGCCUUGCUGAGGCUGGCUUUGAGCCUGCAGUCCUCCUGCCUCAGCCUCCCAAUCUGCUGGGAUUAACAGGCAUGCUUCACAUGCCAGGCUUGAAUUUCUUCUUAAAUCAUAAAACUGCGGGGCUGGGGAUGUGGCUCAAGCGGUAGCGCGCUCGCCUGGCAUGCGUGCGGCCCGGGUUCGAUCCUCAGCACCACAUACAGACAAAGAUGUUGUGCCCGCCAAUAACUAAAAAAUAAAUAAAUAAAUAUUUUAAAAAUUCUCUCUUUUAAAAAAUAAAAAUAAAACUGCACUAGUUCCUGCUUCAUGACUUGAGUUAAUGAGAACUAAUACUCAUCAGCAGAAAGUAGACAUUUUCAGAAAUCCUUAUGUUUGGAUAAAUGGUAUAAACUGAACAUCCUGUUGGUUGAGUAGGAGAGCUAGGGUGGAUGAGAGACAAAAGCAAAGAGUUCCAUCUUUGACCAUGGAUUUGGGCCUACUAUGGUUUGCCAUAAUUUUAGUCAUUUUUGUAUCUGUGAAAAGGGCGGUAAUGAUAUCUUAGCUAUUUCCAUAAUCCUUUUUGGAUGAGUUAAUGAAUAAUUCAUUGUUAACCCUGUAGGGUUCUUGUGGAAGUCAAAUGAGAAAACAGAAGUUUUAUUGAGUGUUAGGAAGAUAUAAAGCAUUAUUGCCAUGUUUAGGAGCAAGAACCAUGUUUCAUUUAUCUACCUAAACAUCCUGAAGAGGUCUUGGAAAAUAAUAGUGCAUCAGUAAAUAUUUAUGGCAUGACUGAAGUCAGGGAGCUGGAGUCUUGAGUACAUGCAUGGAGGAGACGUCACUGGGAAGCUUACUGCUUACUUGAUGUGUUAUCAUUGUGAAAGCCUAAUCACAUGGUUGUUCAUCCUCAUUAAUAUGUAUAAAUCACAUGUUCACCUCUCAUUCUAAUGUAAUUCAACUGGGCCUUUUAAUAUUUCAGCCUCACCACUGUUGGACUCCAACCCCCACCUCACGUCUUCAACCAGAAGGGGAUCUUUUAAUCCUUCACUUCGUGGGGAGUCUUUGAGGGAGUAAUGCAGCUGCCCAGCAAGAACACUGCUGACCAGUACAGUGACUGACAGGCUGCCCUGGCUCAGUUAUCACAGUGCUGAUGCUGUCCAUUCUAAAGGUACAGUACUGUGAUAACUGAAGGAUGGCAGCCAUCUUGCCUUCCACCCGAGGAGCCUCCUCGUGCUCAGGAAGAAAGACAGAUGGUGAAAGAAGAGUGGGAUGCACCAUUCCUUCAUUUGUUUCUCCUGAGCUAUAGAGAAGGUUACCCCAUCUCUCUGCUUUGUUUCAUAAUACGAAAGGAAAACCACGAUGUGGUAGUUUGCAUGGCAGCACAGAUAUUGUGGUGCUGAGCAAAACGUGUAUAAGAUUUUUGGAACCUUUGAAUCUUCAGGAGAUUUUGAUAUUAGGAAAUACUAAAUAUGAAUUAUAUUUUCUCGAGUGGUAUUCAGAGAAAUUUGUGCCAUUUUAUAAUUGUGAAGGGUAACCUGAUUAGGAUAGGCUGACACUUGGCACUACACUAUUAAAUGUUCAAAAUGAAAUUUGUCCUAGGCAGAAGGAAAGCUCUACAUGUCGAACCGUAUUGAUAAUUACUGCAUGAGUAAAAUUCAUCGUUGUGUUUAAGGAAUGGAUGGCAGGCUGUCAUGUUCCUUUCAAGAUGUUUAGAAUCUCCUCUGAGAAAACAUUCAUUGAAUGACAAUAUUGCAAUAUUUUAUCAAAAAAUAUUGCAAUAUUUUUAGAUAAAAAUAAAAUAUAAAUUAUUUUAUUUCCAUCAGGUGAACAAGGACUACUCUACUGCAAUACCUGACACACAUUGAUUUCAGGGAUAUGAAACUAUACAUACCAAGUCAGUAUAUUUGUAGGAAGGCCUAGGAAAUUUAGCAAACCAGGCAUCUUUAACCUGCAUCCUAGUCUAGAGAAUACUUCUGGGGGUAGAGGGUGGGGUUGUUAGAAAAUCUCCAUUCUCACAUUCCUUCUGCCAGUGAUCCCUCUUUCUACAGACUCCUAAAAGCACUCUACAUAUGAAAUACCAAUGAAUGCAUAUCAAAGUACAUGACUUUAUGUUGGAUCACAGUCCACUGCAUGUAAUUUCAUGUAACAUAUUUUAGGCUCAAGCCUGAGCAGGAACCUAUUGCCUCUUCUAGGCUGGUGUCUAUCUAGUAGGAGUCUUAGCACCCUGUAGAUGGCUGGCUGAUCUGUGAAAGAACCUAGAGCACUGAGCUUGAGUACUGAGGCAGGGCCUGCUGAGGACAGGCCCUAUUUGAAACUACCUAUACCUGGGACGCAAGAGCAUACAUGUGACUGUAAUAUACAGUGGACCUUUACCCACUAGUUGAGACCACCUCUUCAGUGUCUCAGAUACUGGCAGUUUUAUUAUCAAGUCCUUCACUGGAAUGGUCUGAGGACGAAAGGGGAUCUGUAGGGAGCAAUCCCUGUUGUCCAUUGUUCUAGUCUUCACCAUCCUGGUCACUGUUCCUCUUUAGGUUCACAGUUCUCUAACCUCUCUCCUUUCUACUCAAAUAGCAGCCUUUCCUGGUGGUGACCCCUUGAGCCAUAACUGCUUGGCUCUGAACUGUUGUACAAACACUCUGAGCACAUUGGAGCAUCCAGUACCUUCACAUAACCUCUCAAAACUUUUUUUUUUUUGGUAGCAGGGCUUUAACCAAGGGGUUCCUAACCACUGAGCCCAUCUCCAGCCCUUUAUAUUUCAAGUUGGGGCCUUGCUAAGUUGCUGAAGCUGGACUUGAACUUGUGAUCCUCAUGCUUCUGCUUCUGAGUCACUAGGAUUAUAGGCAUGCAUCACCAUGCCCACUUCAAAACUUCUUUAAGCCAUAAACUCAGCUAUGUUUUUAUUAAUAGAGGGGUGUAGCACCCACCUGUAAUCCCAAGUACUUGGGAGGCUGAGACAAGAGAGGAUCACAAGUUCUAGGCCAGCCUGGGUGACUUAGGGAAACCCUAUCUUUAAUUAAAAAAAAAAAAGUGGGGGAUGUAGCUUGCCUAGUGUGCACAAGGCCUGGGUAUUCAAUUCCCAUUACCCCCCUCAACACACACACACACACACACGGUUCUGCCCAGUUGUGUAUUACACUGCUGCUCCUAAAAUUCCUUAAGAGUUUUCUCUCUCAAACAGAGAAGGAAUUUAUGACAGAAGGUCUGGAAGAACUCCUAGGAAGAGAAUUCGGGGACUGGUGAAUUCUCAAGUAAUUUAAAACUCUCCUGAUUUUUAGUGUUUUAGCAGGUGGAAAAAGUGCUUCAGGGACUAAUGUGUUGUGCAGUUGUUGGCCUUAGUGGGAAUUUCACCACCUUCCCUGGUCUUCCUGUUUUCUCUGUGACUAGUUUUAUAAAAAUUCGUCUGAUUUUAUACUUGCUUAACCUUGACCUCAGCAUCCACACCCACAUCUUUUGGAAGUUGCAGAGCUGAGUGUGGAUGUAGUUUGGAAUUGCUGCUAUACUUCUACAAACGGAGCUGUGCCGGCUUCCAUUUCUGGUCCACAAGCUUGCCUAGGCCUAGAGGUCUUCCACAUCUCUAAGGCAGUUGGUAGGUGUUAAGAUGUCAGGUUUUUAUCAUGCUGAGUGAGAAGUGCUGCAAGAGAAAGCAGAUAGGGUUAUUUCACUGCCUUUUUGGUUUCGUGUUUGAUUGAUGUAUUGUGUUCUAGUCUAGGCACAUUGAGAUUGGGAAGAGUGGAUGUUAACACCAUGAUACCCCCAAAAAGGGAAGAGGUACUAUAUAAUGGGUAUGUUUACACACACAUUCAUAGCAGCAUUAUUCACAGUAGUCAAAAAAUAGCAAUCCAGGUGUCCCUUGAUUGAAUGGAUAAAUAAAAUGGGUGCACACAUACAUUGGAAUAUCAUCCAGCCUUAAAAAGGAAGAAAGUUCUGAUACACACAACAACAUAGAUGAACCACGAAGAUAUUAAGUAAAAUGAGCCAGACAAAAGGACAAAUACCAUAUGACUCUACUCAGAAGAGGUUCCUAGGAUAUUCAUAUUCAUAGGGCCAGAAAAUAGAAUGACUGUUGCCAGGGACAGGAGGGAGAAGAGGACUGAGAGUUAGUGCUUAAUGAAUACAGAGAUUUAUUUGGGAUGAAUGUUGAAAAAUUUCUGGAGAUGGAUGUUGAUGGUUAUAUAACAAUAUGAAUGUGCUUAAUGCCUCAGAAUCGUUCACGUAAAAAACAGAUUUAAUGUUAUAUAUAUUAUUUAAUAUUAUGUAUUUUUACAAUAAAAAUUUAAUAACACUUUUGGGUCCAACAAAAUUUCGUUCAUUUUUUUACUCUUAAGUGGUUUUUGUGUGACAGUAACUGCUCUUUCAAGUAAGCAAUUAAAAUGUAAUUGCUAUGUUCUUAUGCAUUUAAACUUCUCUAAUCUGUAAGAUCUUAGACAUUUCCAGGGUUUCUGUCAAUGUAGCUUUAAAAUUUGGUGAAACAUAAAACUAAAUACAAUAACCAUGAAAGUACUAACUAAAAAUAAGAACAAGAAAAAGGUCUGGCUGAGAAGUAGCUUACCCGGUAUUGAUGGCCUUAUGCCUUUUCUGGUGAAACUGGGCAACCUACCAGCCCACCUCUUUGGAGUUGUAGUAAAGAUGUAGUUGUAUACUUAUUUAUCUAUAUGCACAAAACAGCAACUAAAUGUGACGUGAUUUCUUAAAAUAUAAACAUGCAAUGUCUGAGACAAAACAGUACCUUUAGUAGUUUUAAGUAAAACAGUUUUAAUUCUCUAAAUUCUUAUUUCAUAUGCCUGUUAUAGCAGCAUUUAAAUAUAGAUUUCUCGUAUGUGCAUUUUUUAAAAUAGAUUCACAAUAUGAAAUGUUGAUGAACAUUGCAAAUUAUAACAAUCAGAAUUCUUGUAAAAGAAUUGAAAGUCAAGAAUUAUUGUUAAAUUUCUAGAGCAAAUACAAACCAAGAAUAAAGGAUAUGUGUGAUGUUAAUCUUUAAAAUAGGUUUUCCCCAAUUUUUUUUUUUUUUUAAUACUAGGGAUUUAACCCAGGAUUGCUUAACCAUUGAGCCACAUUCCCAGCCCUUUUUAUUGUUUAUUUUGAGACAGGGUCUCACUAAGUUGUUCAAGGCCUUGCUGAAGUGCUGAGGUUGGCUUUGUAUUUGGCAAUCCUCCUGUCUCAGACUCUUGAGUCACUGGGAUUACAGGCAUGUGCCACUGUGCCUGGCCUCAUCUCUUAAUUUUUCUGCUCCCCUCCUACCUAAAUCUUCAGGAAAUAUUCAUUAUGUAUGUAAGUGUAGAAUUCUUAGAAACUAAUCACAUAAUGAGGAAACUGAUUUUAUUUACAGCUAAAUCUAUGCAACCUGGAGGUCAUUGAAAAAGUAAUUUCAUAUCCAACAAAGGAAGCCAAAGCUCUGUUUGGCUGGGGUUGUGAUGUCAAAUACACAAUUGUGUGGUAAAUCUAUGUUCCAACUAAAGGCUGAAGUACAGCAUGUUCGUAGAGAGGUCUGGACCAUUCAAUUAAUGUAAUGGUACAGUACCAAAAAAUGGAACAGUAUUUUCAAGGUCGUUCAGAUGGGCUCUUCGUACAUGUUCCAUUCUCAUCUGGUUGAAGAUACUUAUUGGCAUUCUUCCCCUUGCCAAAGCUAGCACAAUCUUCAGGAUUGGCAAAAACCUUUUUUGUUAGUCUAAAGAGUGAAGUUGCAGUACUCAAACAUCAUUUUUGAAAGAAUAUUUGUUGUAUAGGAGGCAAAAAGCCAUGAAUGCUUCAUUUUCUAUUAACUGGUGAGAUCAGCCAUUUUUUUAGUUUUGCUAUGGAAUGGUGAAUCCAAGGAGGACAACAUCAGCAAAGCUGUUCAGGAGGUAAGUCAUACAGGUACUAAGUAGUCAGUUUUAAGAAACAUCUGAUCAGUCUUGGAACAUCUGAGCAGUCUAUAGCUUGCUGUCUUGUCAAUGGCUUUCCUAUUAUGUUUACAUUUGAAAACGAGAAUAUUCUGUAUAGACUAGAAAUAGUAAUAAUGUCCUGUAAAAGAUCACAUGCUUAUUGACCAUGAGUGAGAAGCAUUCAUCUGUGGACCAAAUCUGUGCUGCACAAAACUUUGACUUGGAGUUAAUGCUUUGGAAAUCAGAUUUUAGCAGUGGGAACGUUAAACUGCCCCCAUCAGAUCCUGUGGAGUGUUCUAUCUUGAUCAUACAAUGCAGAGGAACACUCUUGUUUCUGCUGCACUGAUUAUGUUUUAUUAUGCCUCAUACAUUUUUAGCUUCUCAAAGAAGCCAACCAAUUAUAACUAUGACAAAUUAUCUAUACCAUUUUAAAUGGAUUGAUUUCUUUUCUGAAGCAUGCAUUCUUACAGCUGCCAUUUAUGUUUACACUAUCUACCCUCUUCAAUCAUAUUAACCAUUACCAAUCAAGUUCAUCUCUUACUUACUUCCUGAAUUAUUAUUGUUAUUUGGUACUGGGCAUUGAACCCAAGGGCAGUCUACCACUGAGCUACAUCCCGGCUCCUUUUGAAAAUUUUGAGCUGAUCUUAUUAAUUUGCCAAGACUGGCCUGGAGCUUGAGAUCCUCCUACUUUAGAUACCUGAAUCACUGGGAAUACAGGUGUUUGCCACCAUGCCUGGAAUGAAUUCUUCAUUAAAAUAAAUCAGGGCAAGAAAGACAACAGAAGCCCACCCACAUUGUGGGUUUUCCCCCCAUAUCUAAUACAUGAUGAUUCUCUACAGCAUUCUCAUUAAAAAGAAUGCCAAGUUCUUUAAGAAUGUGUGCCUGGGCUGAGGAUAUAACUCAGUUGGUGCCUCACAUGCACAAAGCCCUGGGUUCAAUCUGCCCUUGCAGAGUGAGGCACUGGCUUCCAUCCUCAACACCACAUAAAAAUAAAGGUAUCCGUCUACAACUAAAAAACAAAUAAACAGAAAAAGGUGCCUGAAACAUUUUCAGCUGGGUUCUUUAAAUUGCUUCAAAGUGUUUUGGGUAUGUAAUACCCCAAACUUAAUUAAAAUACAAAAAAGAUUCACAUAAUUGAAAUGGGAUAAAGUAAGCUGAUUACAUCUUGGUUAAUGCAUUUGGACUAUUACUUUUAUUUUCCAAGAGAUUAUGAGAUAUGUGAUGCUAAAGAGCAGGAAAUUGUCAGAUGUGGCCUACACCUGUAACACCAACUACUUGGAAGGCUGAGACAGGAGGAUUCCUUGAGCCCCAGGAGACCAAGGCCAACCUGGGCAACACAGCAAGACUGUAUGGAGGGGGAGGGGGAUAUGGUGGGGAAAAGGAUACAACUGUCCCAAAUUAGCUAGUGGAAAAUUCAUUUUCAUUUUCUGCUAGUAUCUUCGAAAACAAAAUUACAAAGGAAUUAUUUUAACUCCCAUUGCUUGAGGUAGGGGUGUGUGUGUUUUCCCACUUUGAAAUUAGUAUCUUCAGGAAUAUCUCAAAUUCAGCUGCAGAUAGCUGCUUAGAGUACUUUGCUGAGAUUUUCAAGGCCACAUCUAGGGUCUGCAGGAAGGAGAGUUGCAACCACCUAUCUACAUCUUCCUGGGAUCAACUAGCAGUGUCUCUAUGGACAGCAAACCUAGGAGAGGAGAGGAUCCAGGCUAUGUUUGCUGACCCCUUUCUUCAUAAUACAGCAGUAUUUUAUUUAUUUAUUUAUUUGCUUGUAUAUGUAUGUGUGUAUGUGCACACAUGUAUGUGGUUCUGGGAAUUGAAUCCAGGGCCUCUUACAUGCUAAGCAAGUGCUCUACCACUCAGCUACAUGUGUAACCCCAGCAGUGUUUUGUUUUUAGUUGUAGAUGGACACAAUACUUUAUUUGUUUAUUUAGUUUUAUGUGGUGCGGGGGAUUGAACCCAGAGCCUCACAUAUGCUAGGCAAGCGCUCUACCACUGAGCUACAACCCCAGUUUAUUUUGUCUCAUGGUUUUAGAGGUUCAGUCCAUGGUCAGUUGACUCCAUAGCUCUGGGCCCACAGUGAGGCAGUGGCCCAAGGGCAUGGUGGAGGAAAGCAGUUCAGGACAUGACAGUCAGGAAGCAGAAGCUUUGCUCACCAGGGACAAAAUAUAAACCCCCAAAGGCAUGCCCCCAGUGACCCAUUUCCUCCACUCACACUUUACCUGCCUAUAGUUACUACCCAAUUAAUCCACAUCAGUUUAGGUUAAGGGAUUUAUAGUAAUCAUCUCCUCUGAACAUCUUGCUAUCUCACACAUGAGCUUUUCAGGGAUACCACAUAUUCAACCCAUAAAACUGAGGUUUAGGUCUGGUGGGAAGGCAAUGAGAAACUGAUGUGACUCCAUUUUUGAGAAACCAGCUUCUACCUCAAGGCCUGUCCAGAGGGAGGGGGCGUGACCUUUGUCCUAGGAAAAACCCACAGAGCUCUCCUAGGCACAUACCCACCCUGCUGAGUUAUUUAACUGGAGAGAUCUGCAGCACCAGGUGACCCUGACUCAGUUACCCUAGUUGAGGACCCACAGCAACCCCCUAGCAACCACCAAUCAGCAUGAGACAGGGAAAAUAUCUGAAAUGCCAGGUGACCCCCCCAGUAGUUUCGGUGAUUGGUAACAUGAUUAGGCAACCCUGCAAGUUUAGCAUACACACUCUUGCAACCCCUCGUGGCUUAAACCAAUCAGUUCAAAUGUAUCCACCUCUAGAACUAACCAAUCACCCUUACCCAACUUGUUCCUACCAGUGAAUGUGCUAAUCAAUAUUAAGAGUUGUUUAAUUUUCCUGCGGUAUGAAAUGAUUUGCUGUGUGAUGUUGUGAUGCGUAGAGUUUCCCCCAAAACCUAUAAUCCUCACUGAACUGAGGGCCAGGACCCACUCCUAGGGACUGCUGCAUCCAAAACAGUUGUGAAUCUAGGCUUGGGCUUGCAAUAAAGACUCUUGUGUGAUUGCAUCAGAUUCGGCUCCUUGGUGUCUAUUGGGGUCCCACGAAUAUGGCAUUACAGCAAAAAUUCUCAAAGAUAUAUUAAUAAAGACAAGAUUUCCAGAAAGCUAUGCCUUCUAUUGAAAGACCUAAGAAAUCUCAUUCUACUUGGGACCUCAUUUUGCUCUGAAACUUAACCUCUGACCUACUGUAGUCCUAAAGUCAGGAAAAUACUACAGAAAAGCUCUAUGGAAACAGUUCUCGGAAAAGCCGAAGAUGGUGAUCACCUAAGAUAGGCCAAGAUAUCUACAUAUCUGAAAUUCCAGAUGGCCCCCACCUAGGUGUGAUGACCAAUAUCUAAACUAGAAGCCCUGCAGUUUGGCAUGUACCCCCCUUGCACCCCCCUUGCGACAUCCUCACGAUUUAAACCAAUCAAUUUUAAGUGCGUCAACCCCUUGAACUAACCAAUAAUUCUUUCCAGAUUCUUUCCCGCCACUUGAUACACUAAUCAUGUUUUAGAGUUGUUAUUUGAAUUUCCCCCGGUGUGUGGUGAUUUGCUAAGAGAUGCUAUGAUGUAUGUGGGGGUCCCUGCCUUCUCCAAAGAAUGUAUAAAACUACUGCAAAAUCUGGGCUCAGGCCUCUUAGCGUCACCUGUUGCUGUGUGCGAGGAGGACCGAGCUAGCUCGCAAUAAACACCUCUUUGCUGCUUA